Molecule: long non-coding RNA, 1403 nt
Organism: Gigantopelta aegis
Lineage: Eukaryota; Metazoa; Mollusca; Gastropoda; Neomphalida; Peltospiridae
Exons: 2
Source: RefSeq, a predicted model, not a curated record
UUUGUUUUUUAAAUAUUUGUUAGAAAUUAAUGUAAGGUUAGAGAUAGUUAUUAAUAGAUUUUUUUUUUAAGCUUAUAAAACAUAAUGUGUAUAUUUCAUAAUCCUUUCUGGUGAUCAUGCUUGGGGUCCCAAUGUCAUGCAUUCAUAUUUUUUUUUUUUGUACAUUCAAAAUUAAUUAUUUGAAAGUAAAAUUUGCUUUGGGCUACAAUAAACCUGAAUUGUUUAGGGUACCAGACGUUUCGCCCCCAAAUCGGAUGUCAGUUCACCCUCGCAUGCUUAACCAGUUCGCCCCCACAAAGGUACCAGUUCACACCCAUAAAGAUUUAUAUGUAUUAAUUAAUUGAACUGGUGAUUAUGUCAAAUGUGCCCGCACUGACUCAAGAUCCAACCAAAUCGUGGAAAGACGACAAUCCCUCCCCUCUAAGAAAAGAAACACACACACACACAGUUUAACAUGCCUCUAAAGAAACAAUACAGUAAUUGUUUAAAAGUAACAAAUAAUUGGGAUUUGGGGGCGAACUGACAAAUAGUUGGGGGCGCGAACUGGUACAUGGGGCGAACAGGUCAAACUGGGGGCAAAACGUCAUGGAUUCAUUGUCUAUACAAAAAGUAAGUUUGUUUUGUUUAAAGACACCACUAGAGCACAUUGAUUUAUUAAUCAUUGGCUAUUGGAUGUCAAACAGGUAAUUUUGACAUAAUUUUUGAAAGGGAACCUGCUAAAAAUUAAUUAGUAGCAAUGUAUUUUUAUCUAUGCACCAUCCCACAACAGGAUAGCACUUACCAAGAUGAAAUACAUACGAAAUCGUGCAACAAUUGCCGAUCGAUGCAUACUUAUUGUUUGCUGAGAAUAUAUAUAAAAUUAAAAAAUUACCUUGAAAUAUUUAUACCAUUAUAUUUUGUGUUGCUUGUUUACUCUGUUCACUUCACCCCCAACUGUCGGUAUGGAUGCCCCCAAAUAUGUACAACACAUCUUUGGUUGCAUUUUGUAUUUAUAUUAUUUUAUAUUACUUUGACUGGGGUGUGAUAUCAAGCCUUUUCGCCCCAUGCCAGUUAAUUUCUUUUCAAAACGUUUCAAAAGAAACUAUAAAACUCUUAAACUGACACAGAAAAAUUCUUGGAUAGGAUAUUGACAUACCUUUGGGAUGGAUUGGUUUGCAUAAGGAUGAAAUGGACAUUUACUUUGAUUACAAGAAACACAAGUUAUAUAUAUAUAUAUAUAUUUUUUUUUCUUCAGAAAAAUCGUCAGCGCAUUCUGGUCAUCAUAUUAUGGAAAUAUUUGUGACUGAAUCCCAUCUGAAUGUUGGAUGACAUAUAUCAAGAUGACACUGAACAGGACAUAACUGAGGAAAAUGGAUGUGAGAGAAUCCAAUCUAACAGUUGGAAAUAAAUAUAUAUAUUAUUUA